AAAUUGAAGAGUUUGAUCAUGGCUCAGAUUGAACGCUGGCGGCAGGCCUAACACAUGCAAGUCGAACGGUAACAGAAAGCAGCUUGCUGCUUUGCUGACGAGUGGCGGACGGGUGAGUAAUGUCUGGGAAACUGCCUGAUGGAGGGGGAUAACUACUGGAAACGGUAGCUAAUACCGCAUAACGUCGCAAGACCAAAGAGGGGGACCUUAGGGCCUCUUGCCAUCGGAUGUGCCCAGAUGGGAUUAGC
This 248-nucleotide ribosomal RNA is filed under the name Escherichia coli. Its description in RNAcentral is "partial 16S ribosomal RNA". It matches the Rfam family "Bacterial small subunit ribosomal RNA", at positions 1 to 245 of the family's 1533-position model. The record is from RNAcentral. Lineage: Bacteria; Pseudomonadati; Pseudomonadota; Gammaproteobacteria; Enterobacterales; Enterobacteriaceae.